RNAcentral lists this ribosomal RNA (460 nucleotides) under uncultured bacterium. Its description in RNAcentral is "partial 16S ribosomal RNA". It matches the Rfam family "Bacterial small subunit ribosomal RNA", at positions 338 to 795 of the family's 1533-position model. The record is from RNAcentral.
CCUACGGGAGGCAGCAGUGAGGAAUAUUGGUCAAUGGACGAGAGUCUGAACCAGCCACGUAGCGUGAAGGAUGACUGCUCUAUGGGUGGUAAACUUCUUUUAUAUGGGAGUAAAAUGUUCCACGUGUGGGAUUUUGUAUGUACCAUAUCAAUAAGGAUCGGCUAACUCCGUGUCAGCAGCCGCGGUAAUACGGAGGAUCCGAGCGUUAUCCGGAUUUAUUGGGUUUAAAGGGAGCGUAGGUGGAUUGUUAAGUCAGGUGUGAAAGUUUGCGGCUCAACCGUAGAAUUGCAGUUGAAACUGGCAGUCUUGAGUACAGUAGAGGUGGGCGGAAUUCGUGGUGUAGCGGUGAAAUGCGUAGAUAUCACGAAGAACUCCGAUUGCGAAGGCAGCUCACUGGACUGCAACUGACACUGAGGCUCGAAAGUGUGGGGAUCAAACAGGAUUAGAUACCCUAGUAGUC